This 916-nucleotide ribosomal RNA is filed under the name uncultured Candidatus Poseidoniales archaeon. Its description in RNAcentral is "SSU rRNA". It matches the Rfam family "Archaeal small subunit ribosomal RNA", at positions 1 to 923 of the family's 1478-position model. The record is from RNAcentral. Lineage: Archaea; Methanobacteriati; Thermoplasmatota; Candidatus Poseidoniia; Candidatus Poseidoniales.
UUCCGGUUGAUCCUGCCGGAGGCUACCGCUAUUGGAGUUCGAUUAAGCCAUGCGAGUCGAGAGUCUUAGGGACUCGGCGUACCGCUCAGUAACACGUGGGUAACCUGCCCUAUGCUGGGGAAUAACCUCGGGAAACUGAGAAUAAUACCCCAUAGUUCACCACGCCUGGAACGGUGGGUGGAUGAAAGCUCCGGCGGCAUAGGAUGGGCCUGCGACGUAUCAGGUUGUAGGGGGUGUAACGUACCCUCUAGCCAUCAACGCGUACGGGUGUUGGGAGACAUAGCCCGGAGAUGGAUUCUGAGACACGAAUCCAGACCCUACGGGGUGCAGCAGGCGCGAAAACUUGGCAAUGCGAGCAAUCGUGACCAGGGAACUCCAAGUGGCUGGGGUAAUACCCAGUUUUUUCUUGACUCUUCAAAGGUCUUGGAAUAAGGGGUGGGUAAGGACGGUGCCAGCCGCCGCGGUAAUACCGGCGCCUCAAGUGGUAGUCGCUUUUAUUGGGCCUAAAACGUCCGUAGCCGGUCUGGUGCAUUCGUGGGUAAAUCAACCCGCUCAACGGGUUGAAUUCUGCGAGCACGGCCAGACUUGGGACCGGGAGAGGUGUGGGGUACUCUCAGGGUAGGGGUAAAAUCCUGUCAUCCUGAGAGGACCACCUGUUGCGAAGGCGCCACACUAGAACGGAUUCGACGGUCAGGGACGAAACCUAGGGGCACGAACCGGAUUAGAUACCCGGGUAGUCCUAGGUGUAAACGCUGUGGACUUGAUGUUGGGGGUGCUCCGAGCACUCUCAGUGUCGAAGCGAAGGUGAUAAGUCCACUGCCUGGGGAGUACGGUCGCAAGGCUGAAACUUAAAGGAAUUGGCGGGGGAGCACUGCAACCUGAGGAUUGUGCGGUUUAAUUGGAUUCAACGCCGGGA